GAUCCAGAUAUUUUGAUGUAUAGUGGUUGCUGAUCUUGGAGUUUUUACCUGUUUGGAGAUCAUCGAGAUUUCGGAGUGGGUCCUAGCGGUGUUCAAUAGAUUUGCUCGGAUCCAGUUCUUGACGGAGACUUGAGAUGGCGAGAACAUGCACAGUAUCUGUAGCCGGACAGGAGCCAGAGCCCCCUAUGGUAGCUACUACCAAGGGCAGAGUCUGAGGCCGAGAUCGAACUAGAAGCCGAGGCAAAGGUAGAGCUCAGCCUAGAGCUCGAGCAACAACACCUAUAGUGGAGCCUCAAACUGAUCAUGAGGAGGAGAUCCCUGCUCAGACCGUACCUGUCGGUAGGGGUGGGCAUAAAAUCCGAAAAAACGAAUUCCGAUCGGUAUUUUGAUCUAAUUCGUUAUUGUAAUUUCGGUAUUUUGGUACGGUCCUCGGUAUUAGAAUUUUGAAAUUUCGGUAUACCGAAAUACCGAAUUUUUAAA
Molecule: non-coding RNA, 480 nt
Organism: Nicotiana tabacum (common tobacco)
Lineage: Eukaryota; Viridiplantae; Streptophyta; Magnoliopsida; Solanales; Solanaceae
Source: RefSeq, a predicted model, not a curated record